GAUGAACGCUGGCGGCGUGCUUAACACACGCAAGUCGAACGAAGCAUUUGCGACAGAUUUUUUCGGAAUGAAGUUGCUUAUGACUGAGUGGCGGACGGGUGAGUAACGCGUGGGUAACCUGCCUUGUACUGGGGGAUAGCAGCUGGAAACGGCUGGUAAUACCGCAUAAGCGCACAAUGUUGCAUGACAUGGUGUGAAAAACUCCGGUGGUAUAAGAUGGACCCGCGUCUGAUUAGCUAGUUGGUGAGAUAACAGCCCACCAAGGCGACGAUCAGUAGCCGACAUGAGAGGGUGACCGGCCACAUUGGGACUGAGACACGGCCCAGACUCCUACGGGAGGCAGCAGUGGGGAAUAUUGCACAAUGGAGGGAACUCUGAUGCAGCGACGCCGCGUGAGUGAAGAAGUAAUUCGUUAUGUAAAGCUCUAUCAGCAGGGAAGAUAGUGACGGUACCUGACUAAGAAGCUCCGGCUAAAUACGUG
RNAcentral lists this ribosomal RNA (481 nucleotides) under uncultured bacterium. Its description in RNAcentral is "partial 16S ribosomal RNA". It matches the Rfam family "Bacterial small subunit ribosomal RNA", at positions 28 to 507 of the family's 1533-position model. The record is from RNAcentral.